This 423-nucleotide ribosomal RNA is filed under the name uncultured bacterium. Its description in RNAcentral is "bacterial SSU rRNA". It matches the Rfam family "Bacterial small subunit ribosomal RNA", at positions 358 to 773 of the family's 1533-position model. The record is from RNAcentral.
AGAAUCUUUCGCAAUGGACGAAAGUCUGACGAAGCGACGCCGUGUGAACGAAGAAGGCCUUCGGGUUGUAAAGUUCUUUCGCCAGGGAACAAGAGAGAGAAGUGAAUAACUUCUCGCUUUGAGGGUACCUAGUAAAGAAGCACCGGCUAACUCCGUGCCAGCAGCUACGGUAAUACGGAGGGUGCAAGCAUUAAUCGGAAUUAUUGGGCGUAAAGGGCGCGUAGGCUGAACUGUAAGUCAGAUGUGAAAUACCAAAGCUUAACUUUGGUGCUGCAUUUGAAACUACAGAUCUAGAGGAUAGACGGAGAAAACGGAAUUCCACAUGUAGCGGUGAAAUGCGUGGAUAUGUGGAAGAACACCUGUGGCGAAAGCGGUUUUCUAGUUUAUUCCUGACGCUGAGGCGCGAGAGCAAGGGGAGCGAAC